CCUCCUCGUGACACUUAAGCACCAAUCCACCUUCCCGACGAAUUAACGUUUGGAAAAUCACCAUAUUCUUACUCUCUUCGGACCUAGAAACCUGAAUCAAAUUUUGGUUUCUCGGAAUAUUGUGCACGGAUGCCAUUUCAAGAACCUUCAUUGGAGCCGUGGGUUUCCCUUCAGUUUCAGAAAAUUUCCAGCCAUCUUUUGAACUCUAAAUAGUUUCCGGCGACCUCUGCCACUCUCGAGUCAUUUUCCAGUAAAAUCACGGCGAGAUAGUCAUUUCCAAGGUUCCUUUUACCGAGGCAGUGGACGAUUAGAUUUCGUUGAGUAUUGACAAAGUUAUGGACGCUGAAAGGUUGCCCAGAAAUUCUGGCGAAUUUACCUAUUUUCCAGUAGACAGCUGUCUUUCGGGCCAUUUCUACCAUUUGGACUCCAAUUAGGCGCCGAUCGUUCGUGACGCCUCAAUGUUUAUGCUAAGGAGUUGUAGCGCGAACUUCAUGUUUUAGCUACUGAAAAUUUCGUGUCGACGAGGAUUCUUAGCGAAUCUCAGUAUAGGUGGCUACCUCUGAGGAUGUCGGCCAACACAGCUCGAUUCGGAGUCCUAGUGGACAUUCCGGGUCGGGGUAUGUUUAUUUGGUAUCAAAGCCAAUCUCUGGCCAGAAGUGUGUCUACGAGGACGUCGGGCCCCUAAGGUGGGUGGAUUGUGAGAUCCCACGCCUAGGGGAGUAGAUCAUGAACUUUGAAGUUAAGCGAGAAAAUGGCCAGAGUAUUCCCAGGAUGAGUGACCCACUAGGAAG
Molecule: long non-coding RNA, 791 nt
Organism: Pyrus x bretschneideri (Chinese white pear)
Lineage: Eukaryota; Viridiplantae; Streptophyta; Magnoliopsida; Rosales; Rosaceae
Exons: 6
Source: RefSeq, a predicted model, not a curated record